UAGGGAAUCUUCAGCAAUGGGCGAAAGCCUGACGGAGCAACGCCGCGUGAGUGAUGAAGGUCUUCGGAUCGUAAAACUCUGUUAUUAGGGAAGAACAAAUGUGUAAGUAACUAUGCACGUCUUGACGGUACCUAAUCAGAAAGCCACGGCUAACUACGUGCCAGCAGCCGCGGUAAUACGUAGGUGGCAAGCGUUAUCCGGAAUUAUUGGGCGUAAAGCGCGCGUAGGCGGUUUUUUAAGUCUGAUGUGAAAGCCCACGGCUCAACCGUGGAGGGUCAUUGGAAACUGGAAAACUUGAGUGCAGAAGAGGAAAGUGGAAUUCCAUGUGUAGCGGUGAAAUGCGCAGAGAUAUGGAGGAACACCAGUGGCGAAGGCGACUUUCUGGUCUGUAACUGACGCUGAUGGGCGAAAGCGUGGGGAUCAAACAGG
RNAcentral lists this ribosomal RNA (429 nucleotides) under Acidobacteriota bacterium. Its description in RNAcentral is "Acidobacteria bacterium partial 16S ribosomal RNA". It matches the Rfam family "Bacterial small subunit ribosomal RNA", at positions 355 to 776 of the family's 1533-position model. The record is from RNAcentral. Lineage: Bacteria; Pseudomonadati; Acidobacteriota.